GGGAUCAGUUGUAGCAAUACGACUGUGAGAGUGGCGCACGGGUGCGUAACACGUAUGCAACCUACCUUAAACUGGGGAAUAGCCCCUCGAAAGAGGGAUUAAUACCGCAUAACGAGGCGUGUAGGCAUCUACACUCCUCUAAAACUCCGGUGGUUUAAGAUGGGCAUGCGGCUGAUUAGCUAGUUGGUGAGGUAAUGGCUCACCAAGGCUACGAUCAGUAGGGGGUCUGAGAGGAUGUCCCCCCACACUGGUACUGAGACACGGACCAGACUCCUACGGGAGGCAGCAGUAGGGAAUAUUGGACAAUGGGGGAAACCCUGAUCCAGCCAUGCCGCGUGCAGGAUGACUGCCCUAUGGGUUGUAAACUGCUUUUGUACGGGAAGAAACCACAUUACGUGUAAUGUGUUGACGGUACCGUGAGAAUAUGGAUCGACUAACUUCGUGCCAGCAGCCGCGGUAAUACGAAGGAUCCUAGCGUUGUCCGGAUUUACUGGGUUUAAAGGGUGCGUAGGCGGACUUUUAAGUCAGUGGUGAAAGCCUGCAGCUUAACUGUAGAAUUGCCAUUGAAACUGAAAGUCUCGAGUGUGGUUGAGGUAGCUGGAAUGUAUCAUGUAGCGGUGAAAUGCUUAGAUAUGAUACAGAACUCCAAUUGCGAAGGCAGGCUACUAAACCAUAACUGACGCUGAGGCACGAAAGCGUGGGGAUCAAACAGGAUUAGAUACCCUGGUAGUCCACGCCCUAAACGUUGCAUACUCGGUUUUGGCGAUAUACAGUCAGGACCCAAGCGAAAGCGUUAAGUAUGCCACCUGGGAAGUACGAUCGCAAGAUUGAAACUCAAAGGAAUUGACGGGGGCCCGCACAAGCGGANGAGCAUGUGGUUUAAUUCGAUGAUACGCGAGGAACCUUACCUGGGCUUGAAUGUGAGUGACCGCUGCCGAAAGGUNGCUUCCC
This 951-nucleotide ribosomal RNA is filed under the name uncultured bacterium. RNAcentral describes it as "bacterial SSU rRNA". It matches the Rfam family "Bacterial small subunit ribosomal RNA", at positions 68 to 1017 of the family's 1533-position model. The record is from RNAcentral.